RNAcentral lists this non-coding RNA (29 nucleotides) under Rattus norvegicus (Norway rat). The record is from RNAcentral. Lineage: Eukaryota; Metazoa; Chordata; Mammalia; Rodentia; Muridae.
UCCCAUGGGUUCCUGAUGAGGUGAUGUUU